RNAcentral lists this ribosomal RNA (3037 nucleotides) under Deltaproteobacteria bacterium GWA2_38_16. RNAcentral describes it as "23S ribosomal RNA". It matches the Rfam family "Bacterial large subunit ribosomal RNA". The record is from RNAcentral. Lineage: Bacteria; Deltaproteobacteria.
AUUUAUGGUAAAGCUACAAAGGGUAAAUGGGGGAUGCCUUGGCAUUAAGAGGCGAUGAAAGACGUGGUAUAGCUGCGAUAAGCUUCGGGGAACUGCUAAACGAGUUUUGAUCCGGAGAUUUCUGAAUGGGGCAACCCUUUUAGGGUAACACCUAAAAAUGUGUGACUGAAUUCAUAGGUUACUCAAGCGAAUGAGGGGAAGUGAAACAUCUCAGUACCCUCAAGAAAAGAAAACAAUUGUGAUUCCCUCAGUAGUGGCGAGCGAACGGGGAAUAGUCUAAACCUUAUCUGUGUAAGCCUGUAAGCGUUGCAGAUAGGGUGUUGUGGGACUCUUUGGGUGUUAUUACAGAAACACCAAGAAGUUACAAAACUUAGUUUUAGUUGAACUAUCUGGAAUAGUAGACCAUAGAAGGUUAAAGUCCUGUAAAUGAAAAAGCUAAGACUUCUAAAGAGUAUCCCAAGUACCACGGGACACGUGAAAUCUUGUGGGAAUCCGGGAAGACCAUUUUCUAAGACUAAAUACUUCUUAAUGACCGAUAGUGUAAUAGUACCGCGAGGGAAAGGUGAAAAGAACCCCGGUGAGGGGAGUGAAAUAGAAUCUGAAACCGUUUACCUACAAGAGGUAGGAGGGCUAUGUAAAGAGCUUGCUCUUUAAAUGCCUGACUGCGUACCUUUUGCAUAAUGAGUCAGUGAGUUAUUCUCAGCGGCAAGGUUAAGCCGAAAGAGGUGGAGCCGUAGCGAAAGCGAGUCUUAAAAGGGCGAUUAGUCGUUGGGAAUAGACCCGAAGCGGGAUGAUCUAUCCAUGGUCAGGAUGAAGCAGGUGUAAGAACCUGUGAAGGUCCGAACUGGUGCCCUUUGAAAAGGUCUCGGAUGAACUGUGGAUAGGGGUGAAAGGCCAAUCAAAUUCCGUGAUAGCUGGUUCUCCUCGAAACAUAUAGAGGUAUGGCCUUGUAAAUUUAAGUAACGGAGGUAGAGCACUGAAUGGACUAGGGGUCCUACCAGACUACCAAACCCAAUCAAACUCCGAAUGCCGUUAACUUUGACUACAGGAGACAGACUGUGGGGGAUAAGCUUCAUAGUCAAAAGGGAAAGAGCCCAGAUCGCCAGCUAAGGUCCCUAAUAUAUGCUAAGUGGAAAAGGUUGUGGUAGCGCACAGACAGCUAGGAGGUUGGCUUAGAAGCAGCCAUCCUUUAAAGAAAGCGUAACAGCUCACUAGUCAAGCGAGACUGCGCCGAAAAUAUAACGGGGCUAAAGCAUAUUACCGAAGCUGCGACUUGUAAGAAUGAUUCGUCAUUUUUACAGGGGUAGAGGAGCAUUCCAUGGGCCGUCGAAGCAAGACCAACAAGGACUUGUGGAGGUGAUGGAAGAGCUGAUGCUGACAUGAGUAGCGAUAAAACGGGUGCGAAACCCGUUCGCCGUAAAUCUAAGGGUUCCUGAGGAAGGUUAAUCCUCUCAGGGUUAGUCGAUGCCUAAGUCGAGGCCGAAAGGCGUAGAUGAUGGAAAGUAGGUUAAUAUUCCUGCACCAUCAAGGUAGUGUUUGAACGAUGGGGAGAGAAGAAGGAUAAAUCAUCUUACCGAUGGAUGUGUAAGUACAUGCUCGAAGGAGGUGCUUUAGGUAAAUCCGGAGCACAUAUACUCUGAGGAGCGUGUGGUGGGGUCUAACCACCCUAGAACUGAUUGAUUCCAGACUUCCUAGAAAAACCUCUAAGUAAAUUACCUUGGUGAUCGUACCGCAAACCGACUCAGGUAGAUGAGGAGAGAAUCCUAAGGCGCUUGAGAUAAUUCUCGUUAAGGAACUCGGCAAUCUAACACUGUAACUUCGGGAAAAAGUGUGCCCUUUGUAGAUGAAGUCCCUCGCGGACGUAGUCGAGAAGGGUUGCAAUAACCAGGUGGUAGCGACUGUUUACUAAAAACACAGGACUCUGCAAAGUCGCAAGACGACGUAUAGGGUCUGACGCCUGCCCGGUGCUGGAAGGUUAAGGCAAGCGGUUAGCUCGUAAGAGCGAAGCUGUGAACCGAAGCCCCAGUAAACGGCGGCCGUAACUAUAACGGUCCUAAGGUAGCGAAAUCCCUUGUCGGGUAAGUUCCGACCUGCAUCAAUGGCGUAACGACUUCCAUGCUGUCUCAACGAGAUUCUCAGCGAAAUUGAAGGAUCGGUGAAAAUGCCGAUUACCCGUAGUGGGACGAAAAGACCCUGUGCACCUUUACUGCAACCUGGCACUGAGUUUUGAAAUGAUUUGUGUAGAAUAGAUGGGAGACUUUGAAGCGGGGGCGCUAGCUUCCGCUGAGUCGACAGUGAAAUACCACUCUGAUCGUUUUGAGAUUCUAAUUCAGGGCUGUAAUCCAGCUCGAAGACAAUGUCAGGCGGGUAGUUUGACUGGGGCGGUCGCCUCCUAAAAAGUAACGGAGGCGCGCGAAGGUUCUCUCAGGCUGAGUGGAAACCAGCCGUAGAGUGUAAAAGCAUAAGAGAGCUUAACUGUAAGGCUUACAAGCCGAACAGGUGCGAAAGCAGGCUUUAGUGAUCCGGUGGUUCUGAAUGGAAGGGCCAUCGCUCAACGAAUAAAAGGUACGCCGGGGAUAACAGGCUGAUCUCCCCCAAGAGUUCAUAUCGACGGGGAGGUUUGGCACCUCGAUGUCGACUCAUCACAUCCUGGGGCUGAAGUAGGUCCCAAGGGUUGGGCUGUUCGCCCAUUAAAGUGGUACGUGAGUUGGGUUUAGAACGUCGUGAGACAGUUCGGUCUCUAUCUACUACGGGCGCAGGAUAUUUGAGGGUGAUUCGUCCCUAGUACGAGAGGACCGGGAUGAACGAACCUCUAGUGUACCAGUUAUUUCGCCAGAAGUAGUGCUGGGUAGCUAUGUUCGGAAUGGAUAACCGCUGAAAGCAUCUAAGUGGGAAACCAACCCCAAGAUAAGAUAUCCCUGGAGCGCAAGCUCCCUAAAGACCCCUUGUAGACUACAAGGUUGAUAGGCUCGGUGUGUAAGAGCAGUAAUGUUCUGAGCUAACGAGUACUAAUUGGUCGUGCGUCUUUAUCAUAAAU